AUGCUUAGGAGAAUGUACCAAGGUGGUUCCUCGGCAAAGAAAGGGACAAGGAUUGCUAUACGUGACCAAGAUGUUGAAUUGCCGAGGGACGCAUAUGUACGGGCGUGUGAGUGGCCAUCCGAUGAUUUUAUGGUCGAAGCAGGCUUUAAGGAGGAAUUUGACGCGUAUGUGCGUAAUGCUGAGCUGGAGGACUUCUUACAAGAUAAGUGUCCUCAGUACUAUCAAUUGACUGAUUCCUUUCUGCGGAGGUUUAAAUAUAACUGUACACGUAAUUCUCCUAGUGUCCUAUUUGAUAUUUAUGAUACAUCUUACACCAUGGACUUAGAGGAUUUUACAAAUGCUUGCAAACUCCCGCAGUGGGGUAAUAUUAAUGAUCCUCACAAAUCUGAAUUUAGAGAUUUUCUUGCUAGUAUUACUGUGGGAGAAUCUAGGGACAUAACACAAGCUACCAUAGGGAGCAUUCAUUUUCCUACUAUACAUUAUUUUGCUCUCUUUAUUGGUAGAUGUAUUAACGGUAAGGAUGAAGCAUGUCACAUGUGUGUCCUUGAUCUGAGUAUCCUCAAGAGUGUUGUGUCAGGUUUUAAAGGUUAUAACUUGGGGGCAAUAGUUGCAUGUAGGUUGCAGAACAAUAGUAGAAAGGGAAAUUUCUUUGGAGGAAUUUAUGCAACCCGUGUGGCUAAUUUUCUUGGUAUAGCCCUACGAGAGGGAGAUAUGAUAAUACCUCUUGUCUAUUUGGAUAAGGAAGCUAUGUUUAGUCAUCAUUUUCUUGAGAGGAAUGAACAAUUCCUCCAUUAUCGACUAAUCUAUGACAGACGCAACAUCGUCCCUGUUACUCUUCCUGCUCCCUACCUUUUUGAUUAUCAGGCAAAAGGAAGAUAUGUUGUCACCAGGGAGGAAGCAGUUGAAUAG
This 909-nucleotide ribosomal RNA is filed under the name Triticum aestivum (bread wheat). RNAcentral's name for it is "partial small subunit ribosomal RNA". The record is from RNAcentral. Lineage: Eukaryota; Viridiplantae; Streptophyta; Magnoliopsida; Poales; Poaceae.